AGGCGCGUAGCUCAGGGGGAGAGCACUUGCUUGACAUGCAAGGGGUCGGCGGUUCGAAACCGCCCGCGCCUACCA
This 75-nucleotide transfer RNA is filed under the name hydrothermal vent metagenome. Its description in RNAcentral is "tRNA-Val-GAC". It matches the Rfam family "tRNA". From Rfam's summary of the family: Transfer RNA (tRNA) molecules are approximately 80 nucleotides in length. The record is from RNAcentral.